GUUGAACGCUGGCGGCAGGCCUAACACAUGCAAGUCGAACGGUAGCACAGAGAGCUUGCUCUCGGGUGACGAGUGGCGGACGGGUGAGUAAUGUCUGGGAAACUGCCCGAUGGAGGGGGAUAACUACUGGAAACGGUAGCUAAUACCGCAUAACGUCGCAAGACCAAAGUGGGGGACCUUAGGGCCUCACACCAUCGGAUGUGCCCAGAUGGGAUUAGCUAGUUGGUGAGGUAA
Molecule: ribosomal RNA, 234 nt
Filed under: uncultured bacterium
Lineage: Bacteria
Description: partial 16S ribosomal RNA
Rfam family: Bacterial small subunit ribosomal RNA
Source: RNAcentral